UGCCCAGCAACUCCUAUCCCUAUCUCCUCGUGGUACUGGCCGGGGUACGAGUAACCUUGGGGAAGAUCGGGUAACCAACCCCCGGUGGGAACUUUGGUCGUAUGCUGACAGGGAAGG
This 117-nucleotide ribozyme is filed under the name Aedes aegypti (yellow fever mosquito). RNAcentral describes it as "drz-agam-1 ribozyme". It matches the Rfam family "drz-agam-1 ribozyme". Lineage: Eukaryota; Metazoa; Arthropoda; Insecta; Diptera; Culicidae. The record is from Rfam by way of RNAcentral.